GAACGCUAGCGGCAGGCUUGAUACAUGCAAGUCGUGGGGCAGCAUGAGUAGCAAUACUUGAUGGCGACCGGCAAACGGGUGAGGAACACGUACACAACCUUCCUUCAAGCGGGGAAUAGCCCAGAGAAAUUUGGAUUAAUACCCCAUAAUAUAUUUGAUAAGGCAUCUUAUUAAUAUUAAAGCUUCGGCACUUGAUGAUGGGUGUGCGGCUGAUUAGAUAGUUGGCGGGGUAACGGCCCACCAAGUCUACGAUCAGUAGCUGAUGUGAGAGCAUGAUCAGCCACACGGGCACUGAGACACGGGCCCGACUCCUACGGGAGGCAGCAGUAAGGAAUAUUGGACAAUGGACGAAAGUCUGAUCCAGCCAUGCCGCGUGAAGGAUUAAGGUCCUCUGGAUUGUAAACUUCUUUUAUAUGGGACGAAAAAAGGGCAUUCUUGUUCACUUGACGGUACCAUAUGAAUAAGCACCGGCUAACUCCGUG
RNAcentral lists this ribosomal RNA (482 nucleotides) under uncultured bacterium. Its description in RNAcentral is "bacterial SSU rRNA". It matches the Rfam family "Bacterial small subunit ribosomal RNA", at positions 31 to 507 of the family's 1533-position model. The record is from RNAcentral.